This 496-nucleotide ribosomal RNA is filed under the name uncultured bacterium. RNAcentral describes it as "partial 16S ribosomal RNA". It matches the Rfam family "Bacterial small subunit ribosomal RNA", at positions 28 to 507 of the family's 1533-position model. The record is from RNAcentral.
GACGAACGCUGGCGGCGUGCCUAAUACAUGCAAGUUGAGCGCUGAAGGUUGGUACUUGUACCAACUGGAUGAGCAGCGAACGGGUGAGUAACGCGUGGGGAAUCUGCCUUUGAGCGGGGGACAACAUUUGGAAACGAAUGCUAAUACCGCAUAAAAACUUUAAACACAAGUUUUAAGUUUGAAAGAUGCAAUUGCAUCACUCAAAGAUGAUCCCGCGUUGUAUUAGCUAGUUGGUGAGGUAAAGGCUCACCAAGGCGAUGAUACAUAGCCGACCUGAGAGGGUGAUCGGCCACAUUGGGACUGAGACACGGCCCAAACUCCUACGGGAGGCAGCAGUAGGGAAUCUUCGGCAAUGGACGAAAGUCUGACCGAGCAACGCCGCGUGAGUGAAGAAGGUUUUCGGAUCGUAAAACUCUGUUGGUAGAGAAGAACGUUGGUGAGAGUGGAAAGCUCAUCAAGUGACGGUAACUACCCAGAAAGGGACGGCUACUACGUG